UUGCUUCAACAGCACAUAUACAAAAAUUGGAACGAUACAGAGAAGAUAAGCAUGGCCCCUGGGCAAGGAUGACAUGCAAAUUCGUGAAGCAGUUCAUAUUUUA
Small nuclear RNA from Spermophilus dauricus (Daurian ground squirrel), 103 nucleotides. Lineage: Eukaryota; Metazoa; Chordata; Mammalia; Rodentia; Sciuridae. The record is from Ensembl.